RNAcentral lists this ribosomal RNA (497 nucleotides) under uncultured bacterium. RNAcentral's name for it is "partial 16S ribosomal RNA". It matches the Rfam family "Bacterial small subunit ribosomal RNA", at positions 28 to 507 of the family's 1533-position model. The record is from RNAcentral.
GAUGAACGCUGGCGGCGUGCCUAAUACAUGCAAGUCGAGCGAACGGACGAGAAGCUUGCUACUCUGAUGUUAGCGGCGGACGGGUGAGUAACACGUGGAUAACCUACCUAUAAGACUGGGAUAACUUCGGGAAACCGGAGCUAAUACCGGAUAAUAUUUUGAACCGCAUGGUUCAAAAGUGAAAGACGGUCUUGCUGUCACUUAUAGAUGGAUCCGCGCUGCAUUAGCUAGUUGGUAAGGUAACGGCUUACCAAGGCAACGAUGCAUAGCCGACCUGAGAGGGUGAUCGGCCACACUGGAACUGAGACACGGUCCAGACUCCUACGGGAGGCAGCAGUAGGGAAUCUUCCGCAAUGGGCGAAAGCCUGACGGAGCAACGCCGCGUGAGUGAUGAAGGUCUUCGGAUCGUAAAACUCUGUUAUUAGGGAAGAACAUAUGUGUAAGUAACUGUGCACAUCUUGACGGUACCUAAUCAGAAAGCCACGGCUAACUACGUG